This 477-nucleotide ribosomal RNA is filed under the name Candidatus Scalindua brodae. Its description in RNAcentral is "bacterial SSU rRNA". It matches the Rfam family "Bacterial small subunit ribosomal RNA", at positions 365 to 832 of the family's 1533-position model. The record is from RNAcentral. Lineage: Bacteria; Pseudomonadati; Planctomycetota; Candidatus Brocadiia; Candidatus Brocadiales; Candidatus Scalinduaceae.
UUCGCAAUGCCCGAAAGGGUGACGAAGCGACGCCGCGUGGGUGAGGAAGGCCCUCGGGUUGUAAAGCCCUGUCAGGAGUUAAGAAAUGUAAGUGCGCUAAUAUCGCAUUUAUUUGACGAAGGCUCCAAAGGAAGCCACGGCUAACUCUGUGCCAGCAGCCGCGGUAAUACAGAGGUGGCAAGCGUUGUUCGGAAUUAUUGGGCGUAAAGAGCACGUAGGUGGGUUUGUAAGUCAGAUGUGAAAGCCUUCUGUUCAACGGAAGAAUUGCAUCUGAAACUGCGAGUCUUGAGUGUAGGAGGGGAGAAUGGAACUUCUGGUGGAGCGGUGAAAUGCGUAGAUAUCAGAAGGAACGCCGGCGGCGAAAGCGAUUCUCUGGCCUAUUACUGACACUCAGUGUGCGAAAGCUAGGGGAGCAAACGGGAUUAGAUACCCCGGUAGUCCUAGCCGUAAACGAUGGGCACUAAGUAGAGGGGUUUU